GUCCCAGUAGUAUAACUCAAUUACUCCGGUCUUGUAAACCGAAAAUGGGAAACCUAAUCCCCUAGGACA
RNAcentral lists this transfer RNA (69 nucleotides) under Loris tardigradus (slender loris). Its description in RNAcentral is "tRNA-Thr". RNAcentral also lists the same sequence under 1 other name. Lineage: Eukaryota; Metazoa; Chordata; Mammalia; Primates; Lorisidae. The record is from RNAcentral.